GACGAACGCUGGCGGCGUGCUUAACACAUGCAAGUCGAACGGAAAGGCCUCUUUCGGGGGGUACUCGAGUGGCGAACGGGUGAGUAACACGUGAGUAACCUGCCCUUGACUUUGGGAUAACUUCAGGAAACUGGGGCUAAUACCGGAUAGGAGCUCCUGCUGCAUGGUGGGGGUUGGAAAGUUUCGGCGGUUGGGGAUGGACUCGCGGCUUAUCAGCUUGUUGGUGGGGUAGUGGCUUACCAAGGCUUUGACGGGUAGCCGGCCUGAGAGGGUGACCGGCCACAUUGGGACUGAGAUACGGCCCAGACUCCUACGGGAGGCAGCAGGGGGGAAUAUUGCACAAUGGGUGGAAGCCGGAUGCAGCAACGCCGUGGGCGGGAGGACGGCCUUCGGGUUGUAAACCGCUUUCGCUCAUGACGAAGCUUUGUGUGACGGUAGUGGGUAAAGAAGCACCGGCUAACUACGUG
This 467-nucleotide ribosomal RNA is filed under the name uncultured bacterium. RNAcentral describes it as "partial 16S ribosomal RNA". It matches the Rfam family "Bacterial small subunit ribosomal RNA", at positions 28 to 507 of the family's 1533-position model. The record is from RNAcentral.